CCCAGCUGUAGGCACCUGCCUAGGUUGCCUUGUACCUAAGUCAGUAUUAACACUGCAGGGAGAAAAGCAGCCAAUAUGGGGUUGGCAUUCUGGGCCUGGUUAAUGCCAAAUGU
Small nucleolar RNA from Ochotona princeps (American pika), 113 nucleotides. Its record names the gene SNORA74. It matches the Rfam family "Small nucleolar RNA SNORA74". Rfam says of the family: U19 belongs to the H/ACA class of snoRNAs. snoRNAs bind a number of proteins (including dyskerin, Gar1p and Nop10p in the case of the H/ACA class) to form snoRNP complexes. This class are thought to guide the sites of modification of uridines to pseudouridines by forming direct base pairing interactions with substrate RNAs. Targets may include ribosomal and spliceosomal RNAs but the exact functions of many snoRNAs, including U19, are not confirmed. Lineage: Eukaryota; Metazoa; Chordata; Mammalia; Lagomorpha; Ochotonidae. The record is from Ensembl.